GAUGAACGCUGGCGGCGUGCCUAAUACAUGCAAGUCGAGCGAACAGACGAGGAGCUUGCUCCGCUGACGUUAGCGGCGGACGGGUGAGUAACACGUGGAUAACCUACCUAUAAGACUGGGAUAACUUCGGGAAACCGGAGCUAAUACCGGAUAAUAUAUUGAACCGCAUGGUUCAAUAGUGAAAGACGGUUUUGCUGUCACUUAUAGAUGGAUCCGCGCCGCAUUAGCUAGUUGGUCAGGUAACGGCUUACCAAGGCAACGAUGCGUAGCCGACCUGAGAGGGGGGUCGGCCGCACUGGAACUGAGACACGGUCCAGACUCCUACGGGAGGCAGCAGUAGGGAAUCUUCCGCAAUGGGCGAGAGCCUGGCGGAGCAACGCCGCGUGAGUGAUGAAGGUCUUCGGAUCGUAAAACUCUGUUAUUAGGGAAGAACAAAUGUGUAAGUAACUAUGCACGUCUUGACGGUACCUAAUCAGAAAGCCACGGCUAACUACGUG
RNAcentral lists this ribosomal RNA (497 nucleotides) under uncultured bacterium. Its description in RNAcentral is "partial 16S ribosomal RNA". It matches the Rfam family "Bacterial small subunit ribosomal RNA", at positions 28 to 507 of the family's 1533-position model. The record is from RNAcentral.